RNAcentral lists this ribosomal RNA (466 nucleotides) under uncultured bacterium. RNAcentral describes it as "partial 16S ribosomal RNA". It matches the Rfam family "Bacterial small subunit ribosomal RNA", at positions 338 to 795 of the family's 1533-position model. The record is from RNAcentral.
CCUACGGGUGGCUGCAGUGAGGAAUAUUGGUCAAUGGGCGGGAGCCUGAACCAGCCAAGUCGCGUGAGGGAAGACGGUCCUAUGGAUUGUAAACCUCUGUCAGCAGGGAGGAACGGUCACUGUGCUAAUCAGCAGUGACUUGACGCUACCUGCAAAGGAAGCACCGGCUACCUCCGUGCCAGCAGCCGCUGUAAUACGGAGGGUGCGAGCGUUACCCGGAAUUACUGGGCGUAAAGCGCUCGUAGGCGGUAUGUCAAGUCAAGAGUGAAAUCCCCGCGCUCAACGAGGGAACUGCCUUUGAAACUGGCAAACUGGAGUGUGGGAGAGGAAAGUGGAAUUCCAGGUGUAGGAGUGAAAUCCGUAGAUAUCAGGAGGAACAUCAGUGGCGAAGGCGACUAACUGGAACGUAACUGACGCUGAGGAGCGAAAGCGUGGGGAGCAAACAGGAUUAGAUACCCGAGUAGUC